RNAcentral lists this ribosomal RNA (468 nucleotides) under uncultured bacterium. RNAcentral's name for it is "partial 16S ribosomal RNA". It matches the Rfam family "Bacterial small subunit ribosomal RNA", at positions 28 to 507 of the family's 1533-position model. The record is from RNAcentral.
GACGAACGCUGGCGGCGUGCUUAACACAUGCAAGUCGAACGGAAAGGCCCUGCUUUUGUGGGGUGCUCGAGUGGCGAACGGGUGAGUAACACGUGAGUAACCUGCCCUUGACUUUGGGAUAACUUCAGGAAACUGGGGCUAAUACCGGAUAGUAGCUCCUGCUGCAUGGUGGGGGUUGGAAAGUUUCGGCGGUUGGGGAUGGACUCGCGGCUUAUCAGCUUGUUGGUGGGGUAGUGGCUUACCAAGGCUUUGACGGGUAGCCGGCCUGAGAGGGUGACCGGCCACAGGGGGAAAGAGAUACGGGCCGGACUCCUAAGGGAGGCAGGAGUGGGGAAGAAUGCACAAUGGGGGGAAGCCGGGUGCAGGAACGCCGCGUGAGGGAUGACGGCCUUCGGGUUGUAAACCGGUUUCGGCUGUGAAGGAACGUGGGUGACGGUAAUGGGUAAAGAAGCACCGGCUAACUACGUG